RNAcentral lists this transfer RNA (75 nucleotides) under Gemmatimonadales bacterium. Its description in RNAcentral is "tRNA-Val". It matches the Rfam family "tRNA". Rfam says of the family: Transfer RNA (tRNA) molecules are approximately 80 nucleotides in length. Lineage: Bacteria; Pseudomonadati; Gemmatimonadota; Gemmatimonadia; Gemmatimonadales. The record is from RNAcentral.
GGGCGCUUAGCUCAGUCGGUUCAGAGCGCCUGCCUUACAAGCAGGAGGUCACUGGUUCGAAUCCAGUAGCGCCCA